UUUUUUCCGAGCAAAAAAAUCACUAUUUUUUUUUUAAUUGGAUCAUUGAAUGUUUCAAAUGUAAAGUCAAUACAAUUUAAAUAUCACUUUCAGUUUCAGUAUGAAGAAAAAGGGGUAUUUCUCUCUCUUCUUUUUUUUAAAAAACUGUGGCCUAUCCCCAAUCUAUAAAGAGAUUAAAAAAUUAUGACAUUUGGAAAUCAAAAAGGAAAAAUGAAAUGUUCUAAGAUAAAGAAUAAAGGUAAAUCUAAUAAUAGAACAUCGGUAUUCUAAAUGGCAGGAAUCCAGUUACCCAUGUUGCUAAUCUCUAAGCCUCCAGCAGCGAAAACCCAGAUGAUCUGUAUGAUGUAAACUCAGUUCCAGCCAGGUAGGAAGAACCAACAAAAGAAGCAGGAAACGGAUAUCAAAUGCGAAAAAUAAUUCUUUGAAAUUGAUUUUUAUUUGUGAUUCUGACAAUUGACUUAUCUCCUCUAUGGUCCAAUAAGUCCUGCCAAAAGAAUUCCUUCCAA
Molecule: unclassified non-coding RNA, 506 nt
Filed under: Hevea brasiliensis (rubber tree)
Lineage: Eukaryota; Viridiplantae; Streptophyta; Magnoliopsida; Malpighiales; Euphorbiaceae
Source: RNAcentral